UGCUAUUUGCUUUUGAUGUUUAUCUGCUUAGCUUCUCAUCUCCUUUCUGUAGGAGUCGUAUGAUCAACUUUCAAGGAAGUUGAAUGUACGUAGAGAUAGACUUGAGUUGACUCACUGCCUGUGUGAGUCAAACUCUUGUUAGAAACCUCAACCUAGGACUAUUGUGGAUUACAUGAUAACUAUUAGGCUCGAGUCAGUCUCCCUUCUAGUUUGUCAUUUCCCAGUCUCUGGUUAGGAGAAAGUUUCUC
This 248-nucleotide long non-coding RNA is filed under the name Lathyrus oleraceus (garden pea). RNAcentral describes it as "Pisum sativum (pea) long non-coding RNA (PSAT_LNC000725)". Lineage: Eukaryota; Viridiplantae; Streptophyta; Magnoliopsida; Fabales; Fabaceae. The record is from RNAcentral.